GUCAUGUGAUGUGAUCCUCCUCACUGUAUAACGGGCAGUUGCUGCUCGAGCUUUGCAUGGGGUCUAAAAACUGUGUUCUAGUGCAGGACAUGAGGAUCAACAACACGCCGAAUCUAAGGUUUCUCCGGUAACCGGUCCUGAGGAAAAACCUCAGGUCUGUACUCGUGUAUGUACACGAUGCGACAAAUAUGCGGCCUCCUCAUCACACUUUUGUUUGCUGAGACAGUUGCUGAAAAAAAGUACUGUUGGUACUUUGAAGGAGAUUAUCCUGUGUAUUUCAUAUGCAAGGCAUAUGAGGACUGCUGUGGCACAGAAUGCUGCGUUCGAGCUCUUGCUGUUCAAAGAAUAUGGUAUUUCUGGUUACUGCUGAUUAUUGCCAUUUUAUGCUGCUGCAGCACUGGCUACUUCAUCCGCAGAAGGGCUCACCCUUACCCUCCAUCCGACAGGCCUGAGUUUACUGUAGCCUUCAGCAGAAACCCUAUCAUAACACCUGGCCUGCGUCAGACUGGCUUUCACAGUUAUGGAGACUCAGAAACCGCAGUCAUUUCCACUGUCUUCCCUGCAGUGAGUGCGCUUUCCUACUACAGCCAGGGUCCUCAUCCUCAUCAUCCUCCUCCUUCAUAUGAGCAGGUCAUGCAGGACUCACAGAAAAAAUAGAAAUAUCAGCAGGAGAACACUGAGUCCUGAGGAUCAACCCUACAGCACUGUGACCUUUACUUACAGCCUUCAAGACACUGACACAGCUCAACAGCUCAGACAAGACUGGAGGAAACAAACUGGAACAAAUGUACAAGAAGCGGGUAGAUUCUGAAGUGUUUCGAAAGAAAAAUAAUUGAGUUGGUUGACUUCCAAUGCACCUCGACCCCUUGAGAUGCCUGCAAAACCUGAACAGCAACUGGGACGCUCAACACAGAGUGACAACAGCAGUGAUUUCAUUGUGUGGAGCUGAUAAUGUAAACGCAGUUAAGUGCUCAGCAAUUUAGUGAAAUAUUGAUAGAAUUUAUUAGCAUUUAAUGUAGCCCUUCCUUUAUUAGUAUAUUUAAAAAUGUUAUUUGUUUCAGAGGUUAACAUUUUAGUAUCAUUGUCACAUGAACAUAAAAUCAUGGUACACUGUAAAAAAAUGAUCCGAAUAGUGUUAGGACAACAUGAAGGACUUAAGUUA
Danio rerio (zebrafish) is the source of this 1162-nucleotide non-coding RNA. Lineage: Eukaryota; Metazoa; Chordata; Actinopteri; Cypriniformes; Danionidae. The record is from RefSeq and is a predicted model, not a curated record.